UACAGGGGGUGCAAACGUUGCUCGGAAUCAUUGGGCGUAAAGCGCACGUAGGCGGUCUGUUAUGUCGGAUGUGAAAGCCCUUGGCUUAACUGAGGAAGUGCAUCCGAAACUGGCAGGCUAGAGUACUAAAGAGGGUCGCGGAAUUCCCGGUGUAGAGGUGAAAUUCGUAGAUAUCGGGAGGAACACCAGUGGCGAAGGCGCGUUUCUGGGCUGCAUCUGACGCUGAGGCGCGAAAGCUAGGGGAGCAAACAGG
Molecule: ribosomal RNA, 253 nt
Filed under: uncultured bacterium
Lineage: Bacteria
Description: partial 16S ribosomal RNA
Rfam family: Bacterial small subunit ribosomal RNA
Source: RNAcentral